AUAGUACUUCAUCCGUUCCGAAUUACUUGUCACAAAAAUGAAUGUAUCUAGAACUAAAAUAUAUCUAGAUACAUCCAUUUUUACGAUGAGUAAUUUGGAACGGAGAAAGUAUUUC
Non-coding RNA from Triticum aestivum (bread wheat), 115 nucleotides. The record is from Rfam. Lineage: Eukaryota; Viridiplantae; Streptophyta; Magnoliopsida; Poales; Poaceae.